GUGGGGAAUAUUGGACAAUGGGCGAAAGCCUGAUCCAGCCAUGCCGCGUGUGUGAAGAAGGUCUUCGGAUUGUAAAGCACUUUAAGUUGGGAGGAAGGGCAGUAAGUUAAUACCUUGCUGUUUUGACGUUACCGACAGAAUAAGCACCGGCUAACUACGUGCCAGCAGCCGCGGUAAUACGUAGGGUGCGAGCGUUAAUCGGAAUUACUGGGCGUAAAGCGUGCGCAGGCGGUUAUGUAAGACAGAUGUGAAAUCCCCGGGCUCAACCUGGGAACUGCCUCCAAAACUGCAUGACUAGAGUACGGUAGAGGGUAGUGGAAUUUCCUGUGUAGCGGUGAAAUGCGUAGAUAUAGGAAGGAACACCAGUGGCGAAGGCGACUACCUGGACUGAUACUGACACUGAGGUGCGAAAGCGUGGGGAGCAAACAGGAUUAGAAACCCCUGUAGUCC
Molecule: ribosomal RNA, 450 nt
Filed under: uncultured bacterium
Lineage: Bacteria
Description: bacterial SSU rRNA
Rfam family: Bacterial small subunit ribosomal RNA
Source: RNAcentral